RNAcentral lists this ribosomal RNA (1986 nucleotides) under Triticum aestivum (bread wheat). Its description in RNAcentral is "partial small subunit ribosomal RNA". Lineage: Eukaryota; Viridiplantae; Streptophyta; Magnoliopsida; Poales; Poaceae. The record is from RNAcentral.
AUGGGGAAGAAGCAGAAGAAGCCGGGGAAGGGGAAGGAGAAGACGGAGCGUAAGACGGCCAAGGGAGAGGAGAAGCGCGCCCGCCGCGAGGCCGGCAAGGUCGGCGAGGAGGACGACAUCGACGCCAUCCUCAAGAACAUACAGAAGGAGGAAGCGAAGAAGAAGGAGGUUCAUGUGGAGGAGAAUGUCCCUGCGCCAUCUCCCCGGUCCAAUGGCUCGCUUACCAUAAACCCAUCGAAAGAUACAGAACUAAUUCUGUAUGGUGGAGAGUUCUACAAUGGUAGCAAGACCUUUGUUUAUGGUGAUCUUUAUCGUUACGAUGUAGAGAAAAAUGAGUGGAAGUUGGUAUCUAGUCCUAACAGUCCACCUCCACGAAGUGCUCACCAGACAGUUGCAUGGAAGAAUAACAUAUACAUGUUUGGUGGGGAAUUCACUUCACCAAACCAAGAACGUUUUCAUCAUUACAAGGACUUCUGGACACUGGAUCUCAAAACAAAUCAAUGGGAACAAAUUCUUGCCAAGGGAUGUCCAAGUGCACGUUCAGGACACAGAAUGGUCCUUUACAAGCACAAGAUUGUGCUAUUUGGUGGCUUCUAUGACACUCUUAGGGAAGUGAGGUACUACAAUGAUCUGCAUGUUUUUGAUCUGGAUAAUUUCAAGUGGGAGGAAAUUAAGCCUCGUCCUGGUUGCUUGUGGCCAAGUCCAAGAAGUGGCUUUCAGCUUGUUGUUUACCAAGAUCAGAUAUAUAUGUAUGGUGGAUAUUUUAAAGAAGUUUCUUCUGACAAAAAUGCAUCAGAAAAAGGAACAGUUCAUGCAGAUAUGUGGUCUCUUGAUCCUCGUACUUGGGAGUGGAAUAAGGUUAAGAAGACUGGGAUGCCACCUGGCCCCAGAGCUGGGUUUUCAAUGUGUGUUCACAAGAAAAGGGCUGUCCUUUUUGGCGGUGUAGUAGAUAUGGAAGUUGAAGCUGAUGUCCUUAUGAGCAUGUUCAUGAACGAGCUGUAUGGAUUCCAGUUGGAUAAUCACCGUUGGUAUCCUUUAGAGCUCAGGAAAGACAAGCCUGCUAAAAAUAAGACAAAGGAUAUCAAAAGAAAGGAAACAGCAAAUGAUUCAGAAAGUAAUAUUGGUAAUGAGGAUGAUGAUACCAUGGACUGCUCUGAAGAAGCUACUGAUGUUCAAUCUGAAGUUGGUGGAGUUUCUAAUCACUUGACCAAGAGUCUAACCUUAAAUAAAGUUGGCUCAAGCCAAAACUCUGAUGUCAUGUCUGAUUCAACAGAACAAGAAGCAACCCCAGAGGCAAUUAAGCCCAUUGGUCGUAUCAAUGCAUCAAUGGCUGUAGGGAAAGAUACACUAUACUUAUAUGGAGGAAUGAUGGAAGUGAAAGAUAGAGAAAUUACUCUUGAUGAUCUGUAUUCACUUAACCUUAGCAAACUAGAUGAGUGGAAGUGUAUCAUACCGUCAUCUGAAUCCGAAUGGUUAGAAAUGUCCGAUGAUGACGAUGAGGAGGAUGAGGAUGAGGACGAUGAAGAUGAUAGUGCAGAUGAUGCUAUGCAGACAGAUGAAGAUGAGGAGGAGUCCGAUGAAGAAGCUGAGAAGAAUGUAGCUGUGUCCGGUGCUGUGGCUCUACUGAAGGGUGAACGUAAGAAAUUGCGCAGAAAAGAGAAACGUGCCCGGAUAGAACAGAUCAGGGUCAUCCUCGGUCUUUCUGAUUCUCAAAGGACACCAACGCCAGGAGAGUCACUGAGAGAUUUCUACAAGAGAACAAAUAUGUACUGGCAAAUGGCUGCCUACGAGCACACUCAACACACCGGAAAGGAGCUCCGCAAGGAUGGUUUUGAUCUUGCCGAAACUCGAUUCAAGGAACUGAAACCCAUACUUGAUGAGCUGGCCGUGCUGGAGGCUGAACAAAAGGCGGAGGAAGAGGCCAGUGCGUCGACUAGUUCCAAGAAAGACCCGAAGAAAGGCAAGCAGAAGAGCGCGGGAAGAUAG